AAACCUGGCCGCUUGCGUUUGUCACGCCAGUGGAUGAGUCUGGUGCUGCGUUGCAACCUCCCAAAAGAUGAACUGUAACACUUCUGAAGCGACUCAUGUAUAGCUUCCCACGAAGGCGGGCUGCCAAUCUUUCAGCGGUCCGAAGCUUCUGGUGAAAAAUUGUAGGCCUCGCUCUUUUGAUCUCAGGAGGAUCUCGUUCGUGCCAAGAACACCAGCUGAAGUAGAAAAGGGAUGUUAGCGAUAAAAGGUCAAAGCGUUUACAGGGUGGUACCAGCUAGAAUGACGUAGUCUGCUGAAAUAUAAUUGACUUCAUUCAGGGUUGACAAUUAAAUUCUUCUCCGUGGCUAGAGGUAUCCAAGAUGAACAUCACUUCCGUCUGCGUGCAAAUUCUGGCUCCGGCCUGCACAUACGAUUUCCGUAAGAAGAUGUGCCUUCAGUUUUGGCUGGAAAAGUACCUGUGCGG
Selaginella moellendorffii is the source of this 463-nucleotide long non-coding RNA. RefSeq lists it as uncharacterized. Lineage: Eukaryota; Viridiplantae; Streptophyta; Lycopodiopsida; Selaginellales; Selaginellaceae. The transcript is spliced from 3 exons. The record is from RefSeq and is a predicted model, not a curated record.